GAUGAACGCUGGCGGCGUGCCUAAUACAUGCAAGUCGAGCGAACGGACGAGAAGCUUGCUUCUCUGAUGUUAGCGGCGGACGGGUGAGUAACACGUGGAUAACCUACCUAUAAGACUGGGAUAACUUCGGGAAACCGGAGCUAAUACCGGAUAAUAUUUUGAACCGCAUGGUUCAAAAGUGAAAGACGGUCUUGCUGUCACUUAUAGAUGGAUCCGCGCUGCAUUAGCUAGUUGGUAAGGUAACGGCUUACCAAGGCAACGAUGCAUAGCCGACCUGAGAGGGUGAGCGGCCAGACUGGAAGUGAGAAACGGUCCAGACUCCUACGGGAGGCAGCAGUAGGGAAUCUUACGGAAUGGGCGAAAGCCUGACGGAGCAACGCCGCGUGAGUGAUGAAGGUCUUCGGAUCGUAAAACUCUGUUAUUAGGGAAGAACAUAUGUGUAAGUAACUGUGCACAUCUUGACGGUACCUAAUCAGAAAGCCACGGCUAACUACGUG
This 497-nucleotide ribosomal RNA is filed under the name uncultured bacterium. RNAcentral describes it as "partial 16S ribosomal RNA". It matches the Rfam family "Bacterial small subunit ribosomal RNA", at positions 28 to 507 of the family's 1533-position model. The record is from RNAcentral.